This 764-nucleotide ribosomal RNA is filed under the name uncultured bacterium. Its description in RNAcentral is "bacterial SSU rRNA". It matches the Rfam family "Bacterial small subunit ribosomal RNA", at positions 1 to 715 of the family's 1533-position model. The record is from RNAcentral.
CUAUCGGACUCGCGAAUGCACCCAGANGNAUUAAUGAUCAUGGCUCAGGAUGANCCGCGGGCGUAGGCUAAUACAUGCAAGUCGAGGGGUACAUGGUCUUCGGACUGAUGACGACCGGCAAACGGGUGAGGAACACGUACGCAACCUUCCCAAAACUGGUGAAUAGCCCUCCGAAAGGAGGAUUAAUACACCGUAAGAUAACGAGAUGGCAUCAUCUUGUUAUUAUAGCUCCGGCGGUUUUGGAUGGGCGUGCGCCUGAUUAGGUAGUUGGCGGGGUAACGGCCCACCAAGCCUGCGAUCAGUAACUGGCGUGAGAGCACGACCAGUCACACGGGCACUGAGACACGGGCCCGACUCCUACGGGAGGCAGCAGUAAGGAAUAUUGGUCAAUGGACGAAAGUCUGAACCAGCCAUGCCGCGUGAAGGAUGAAGGUCCUCUGGAUUGUAAACUUCUUUUAUCUGGGACGAAAAAAGGUUAUUCUUAACCACUUGACGGUACCAGAGGAAUAAGCACCGGCUAACUCCGUGCCAGCAGCCGCGGUAAUACGGAGGGUGCAAAGCCGUUAAUCCCCGGGAAUUCACUGGGGUUUUACAGGGUGCCGUAGUGNGCAUUGGGUAAAGUCCCGUGGGUGGAAAAUCCUCCAAGCUUAAACUUGGGAAAACUGCCGUUGGAAUAACUAAUCAAGUCUUGAAAUUUCCCUGGAGGUAAGCGGGAAUAUGUCAUGUACGGUGAAAUGCUUAAUAUGACCAUAAAACACCAAUGG